Molecule: ribosomal RNA, 468 nt
Filed under: uncultured bacterium
Lineage: Bacteria
Description: partial 16S ribosomal RNA
Rfam family: Bacterial small subunit ribosomal RNA
Source: RNAcentral
GACGAACGCUGGCGGCGUGCUUAACACAUGCAAGUCGAACGGAAAGGCCCUGCUUUUGUGCGGUUCCCGAUUGGCGAACGGGUGAGUAACACGUGAGUAACCUACCCUUGACUUUGGGAUAACUUCAGGAAACUGGAGCUACUACCGUAUCGGAGCUCCUGCUGCAUUGUGAGGGUUGGAAAGUCUCGGCUGUCGGGGAUGGAUGGGCGGCUUAUCAGCUUGUUGGUUGGGUAGUGGCUGACCAAGGCUUUGGCGGGUAGGCGGCCUGUGAGGGUGACCGGCCACCAUGGGACUGAGAGACGGCCCAGACUGCUAUGGGGGGCAGCAGGGGGGAAUAUUGCACAGUGGGCGGAAGCCUGAUGCAGAAGCGCCGCGUGCGGAAUGACGGCCUUCGGGUUGUAAUCCGCUUUCGCCUGUGACGAAGCGUGAGUGACGGUAAUGGGUGAAGAAGCACCGGCUAACUACGUG